Molecule: transfer RNA, 71 nt
Filed under: Loxodonta africana (African savanna elephant)
Lineage: Eukaryota; Metazoa; Chordata; Mammalia; Proboscidea; Elephantidae
Rfam family: tRNA
About the family: Transfer RNA (tRNA) molecules are approximately 80 nucleotides in length. Their secondary structure includes four short double-helical elements and three loops (D, anti-codon, and T loops).
Source: Rfam by way of RNAcentral
GCAAUGGUGGUUCGGUGGUAGAACACCUGCCUGCCACGCGGGAGACCUGGAUUCAAUUUCUAGCCAAUACA